UUGAACGCUGGCGGCAUGCCUUACACAUGCAAGUCGAACGGUAACGGGCCUUCGGGUGCCGACGAGUGGCGAACGGGUGAGUAAUACAUCGGAACGUGCCCGAUCGUGGGGGAUAACGAGGCGAAAGCUUUGCUAAUACCGCAUACGAUCUACGGAUGAAAGCAGGGGACCGCAAGGCCUUGCGCGGACGGAGCGGCCGAUGGCAGAUUAGGUAGUUGGUGGGAUAAAAGCUUACCAAGCCGACGAUCUGUAGCUGGUCUGAGAGGAUGAUCAGCCACACUGGGACUGAGACACGGCCCAGACUCCUACGGGAGGCAGCAGUGGGGAAUUUUGGACAAUGGGCGCAAGCCUGAUCCAGCCAUGCCGCGUGCAGGAUGAAGGCCUUCGGGUUGUAAACUGCUUUUGUACGGAACGAAAAGCCUUCUUUUAAUACAGGAGGGUCAUGACGGUACCGUAAGAAUAAGCACCGGCUAACUACGU
Molecule: ribosomal RNA, 480 nt
Filed under: uncultured bacterium
Lineage: Bacteria
Description: partial 16S ribosomal RNA
Rfam family: Bacterial small subunit ribosomal RNA
Source: RNAcentral